UUUUUUUUUUAAGAGAAACAAAAUAAUUGCUAGGCGAAGCACAAUAUGUGCCAACAUAUGCUAUCCAAAAUAGUAAAAAGUAUACAUGGGUUCUUUACUAUUUUGGCCAUUAAAAGUAAAAUACCAUUAACUGACUAUUAUUGAGACUAAGCUUUGUUAUGUAAAACCAAAAAAGGUAACUAAAUUGCUGUUCUAACCAUAAAUGCUGCCAU
RNAcentral lists this unclassified non-coding RNA (212 nucleotides) under Hevea brasiliensis (rubber tree). The record is from RNAcentral. Lineage: Eukaryota; Viridiplantae; Streptophyta; Magnoliopsida; Malpighiales; Euphorbiaceae.